RNAcentral lists this ribosomal RNA (425 nucleotides) under uncultured bacterium. RNAcentral describes it as "partial 16S ribosomal RNA". It matches the Rfam family "Bacterial small subunit ribosomal RNA", at positions 354 to 796 of the family's 1533-position model. The record is from RNAcentral.
GUGGGGAAUCUUGCGCAAUGGGCGAAAGCCUGACGCAGCCAUGCCGCGUGAAUGAUGAAGGUCUUAGGAUUGUAAAAUUCUUUCACCGGGGACGAUAAUGACGGUACCCGGAGAAGAAGCUCCGGCUAACUUCGUGCCAGCAGCCGCGGUAAUACGAAGGGGGCUAGCGUUGCUCGGAAUUACUGGGCGUAAAGGGCGCGUAGGCGGACAGUUUAGUCAGAGGUGAAAGCCCAGGGCUCAACCUUGGAAUUGCCUUUGAUACUGGCUGUCUUGAGUUUGGGAGAGGUGAGUGGAACUCCGAGUGUAGAGGUGAAAUUCGUAGAUAUUCGGAAGAACACCAGUGGCGAAGGCGACUCACUGGCCCAAUACUGACGCUGAGGCGCGAAAGCGUGGGGAGCAAACAGGAUUAGAUACCCGAGUAGUCC